Molecule: non-coding RNA, 28 nt
Filed under: Homo sapiens (human)
Lineage: Eukaryota; Metazoa; Chordata; Mammalia; Primates; Hominidae
Source: RNAcentral
UGGGUGUCUUAGGAUGAUGGUUAGGAAC